This 4777-nucleotide long non-coding RNA is filed under the name Papio anubis (olive baboon). RNAcentral describes it as "lncRNA (ENSPANG00000041907.1)". The record is from RNAcentral. Lineage: Eukaryota; Metazoa; Chordata; Mammalia; Primates; Cercopithecidae.
GUUAUGUAUUGAAGAAUACAGUCUAUAAUACAUAUAAAAUAUGUGUUAAUUGACUAUACUAUCAGCAAGGCUUCAAGUCAAGGGGGAGGUGGAUGCCAUGUUGUGAGGACACUCAAGCAGCUCUACAGAGACGCCCCCAGGAUGAGAAACCGAGGCCUCCUGCCAACAGCCAUAGAGUGCACCAUCCAGUCCCAGUCAAACCUUCAGAUGACUGCAGCCCAGGCCAACACCUUGAUUGCAGCUUCAUAAGAGACUCUGAUAGUAGCACCACCCAGAUGAGGAGACUGAAGUACAGGAGAGGUUACAUAACUUAUCCAAGGCACUUGCUGAAUGCUGAAUGAACCACAUGUCCUAACUGAAGGCCCACAGAGUCCACUGGGAAGGUUCUAGUUCAUGCAACUGAGGAUAGAUCCAUUGUGUGGUACUUUCCAGUUAUAAAAGCAGAAAAAUUCUGGAUAAGUGAAACCAAAAUAAAGUCUUUUCAGACACCACUGAAAUUAGUAGAAAGAAAGAAAAAUCCCCAUACUCCAGAAAUGAAAAGGAAACUUAAAGCUAGAAAAGGAAGCUUUGGUUAGAUGCUUUGGACAGCAGAGGGGCUGAGUCAUCUGGACAGAGAGGCUCAUGGUGUGGGGCUGGGGACCAAAUGCCCUUGCUGGGAUGGAAGGUGGGGUCGAGGACCUGCAGAAGGCUGAAGGCUAAACUGAGAUGUCCUACUCAGAGCUGGAACUCUGAAAGGGCUAUCCUUCCACAAAGGGAAGCUCAGAACAGAAGCAAUGAUGAAGCCACUGUCAGCGUGUGCACUGUCAAAGCAUCAGGUGUGGGUCAAGUACAGAGGCAGUAGGGAGCACGAGCGUAUAUUCCCACAUAGUAUGGGAAUCCCCAGAAAUAAGCAUGAGACGGGACUUAGGCAGGUGCCCUGCAAAAGCAAAGGCUAAGUCACUCUUUGUGGAACUUUCCACAGUCCAGGGUGCACAGAGCACCCAGAGAUAAAUAACUCCCCUGGAACAUGAGCUCUCAAAUAAGAAGAACAAACUACACAAGAAGCUAUCAACUGUGAGAAAGACUCAGCAGACAUAACACACAUGAAAAUAGCACAUAGGAACUCAAGAUUAUCUAUCUGAAGAGACUAAAAAUAAGUGGGUUCUAAUGCUUUAAAGGGAAGAGAUAAAAUGACUAUAAAUGCAAAUGGAAUAAUAGAGCCUGUGUGGAAAAAAAAAAAACAAAUAAAAGAAAAUUAAGCUACUUGCAUUCCCAGAAAAAAAAUUGAGUAACUGACAUGAACAAAAAGAUAAUGUGCCAACAGAUAGGACUUAACUGAAGAUAAUUGAUUGCUUGAGUGAUCAAACUGAAGAAACUGGAGAUAGAAAAUGCAAACCAAAGUUGCAGAAAUAUUGAGAAGAGAAUAAGAAGCUCCUAACAGGGCAGGAUGUAGUGACUCAUGCCUACAUGCACAGCACUUUGGGAAGCUGAGGUGGGAGCACUGCUUGAGCCUAGGAGCUUGAAACCAGCGUGGGUAACAUAGCCAGACCCUGUCUCUACAAAACAAAAAUACAGAAAUUAGACUGUGUGAUGGUGUAUGCCUGUGGUCACAGUUACUUGGGAGGCAGAGGGAGGAGGAUCACCUGAGCCUGGGAGGUUGGGCGUGAGCUGUGAUCGUGCCACUGCACUGUAGCCUGCAAGAGUGAGAUCCUGUCUCAAAAAACAAUAAUAAUAAUAAAAAAAGAAGAUCUUAAUAGACUAACAGGAGUCCUAAAAGUAGAAAAGAGAGAGGAUGCAGGAGAUGCCAUCUCAAAGUCAUCACACUUGAGAACUUUCCAGACAUGCUAAGACCUCAGUUGACAUUGUAUAUCACAUCCCAAGAAGGAUAAAGAAAAACGUAUCCACACCCAGAGUCAUGGUAGUGAAGCCACAGAGCACUACAGACCAGCAGGUGUGUGAUGAAGAUGAGUCCUUAGAGGAUUAAUAGCUGACGAGGGGCGCCCGAGAGGCUCCAAGGGGGGAAAGGGCAGCCACCAGGGAAUGCCAGAAGCAGUGAGGUGGCCACUCCAGAUACACGAUGGUGAGAUGAGGAGACAGCUAGACAGGGCACUAGAGCGAGAUGAGCGCGAGAGGCUGGGGAGAAUUCCGGGGGCUCAGAGGGAGGUAGGGGUGUAGGAUGGAAGUGGCCAUGAUAGGGAGGUGGGACCUGCUCUGGGAUAUUGAUGUGUGCCCCUCCUGUAGGCCAAGGACAGUCACUAAAGACUUUAAGCAGAGUGGGGACAGGGUAGGAUUUGCAUUGUGGAAGGUGCUCUGGCUGCGGUGUGGUGGGUGGACAGGAAAUGGGUAAGCAAGGAGUCAGGGCUGGAAGAUUGUUAGCACUACCCAGGCAUGAGACAGAGGCUGGGGGCCAGAAUGCAGGCAGGGCAACGAGGAGGGGGCAGCCCUGGGAGGGGCUGAAAGACGUGCAGGGAGUAGGGCCUGCAGCAGGAGGGACUAGGGGCUGAGGUGACCUCCAUGGGUCCCCAGACACAGGCCAUGCAAGCUUUCCGAUCUUAACAAAGUGGGUUUUACAUGUCACUCUCUUUUCACUAUUCACUGCUUCACUGUCUGUCUUUUAAUAGCCAACACCAAACAUUAUUAAUUCACAAUUAUUAACUCACUAUUAUGAAUAAUCUUGAAAAGCAAUUCACGUUUACUGUGGGAUCAGUGGUAAAAUAGGACAUUCUUUGCUAGGUAAUGUGACAUAAUGGGAAGCAGAAGAAUGCCUAAACUAUUCAUCUGCUGUAUAGGGAGGUCUCUUUAGAAAGGAAGAAAACACUUCUCCUAAAUGUGGACAGACACAGAGCAUGUAAGUAAUAGGGAUUUGUGAGGGCUUUGGGGGAAGAUGAUGUUUAUAAUCACAGUGAUUUCUCAGUAUCAUAAAUGGAUAUAGCUGAAAUCUCAUAGGCUACUUCAGGGCCUUAGACAGCCUAGACUGGCCUUGCCCAUCCUCCCCAGGCCUCCUGGGUGCAUGGGGGACACACGGUUUCUUAGUCCAGGAAUAAGAGGAGAUAAUAGGCGUCUACCUGUGGUCAAGGCACAAGGUCAAAGAAUCGGCAUUACUGAAUGUCCACAGUGUGCCAGACUCUCCAUAUGGAAAUUCUAUUAAUAAACGAAUCUCACGUCAAGUGUGACUGUAUUAUUACAGCUCUUUUAAAGGCAGGGAAAGAGGCACUUGGAGAAGUGUCUUGAUGGAAGCCAGGAGCUGAGAGAGGUGUGUGAAGCCAGCCUGUGGGGAACCCUGCUGCAGCCCCACCUGAAUCCAGGGCUCCCCAGCGGGGGCCCUCCCGCCAGCCCCUGCUUCUUCAUGAGGGGUCUUGUGGGGAUUGCGGGGGCUUGGGGCAGUGGCCAGGCUGGGCUCCCCCAUGCUCUUGCUGUGUGGUCUCCAGAAUUCACUUAACCUCCUGCUGCCUUGGCCCCCCCAUUUGUGAAACGGGGAUCAAAUUCCAGCGCUGCCAGUCUGUCUGCCCAGUGCGGUGGGUGAUUAAUGAGACCAUGGAGGGGAUGUGUUGUGCCCUGGGGCAGACUAAUUUAUCACGGAGCAGAGUCCAUGUUUCUUCUUCCUUCCACACCCUGCCAAAGAUUAAAAUAAACAAGCAAAAGGUAAAAUAAACUAAGGGGAAAUUUUCCAGAAUUUUAUUGCAUAACAUUUAAUAAUUACAAACUAACUUAAGCUAAAAUCCUUCAUUUCAUCAGUAACUCUGAUCAUUAUCUGAGAGAGCUGAUUCGGUUUUGGAGCUGGUAUAAUUGUCAAGAGCUUAAGCAGACUUAGCUUUUUAUUCCCUAAGUAAAAUGGAUUAGGCACAAAGUGACAUUUCAAAAAUGACCACGGUUUCCAAACACCUUAAGGGCUUUGAGGUUUCGGCCUUUCUCCAGGGAGAUUCUGGGGAAGAGUUUAAAUAAUUCCAAACCAGCUUUCAGCUCAUUAUAAUUUCUCACAUUUAGAACUGAAUAAAAUUUUUAUGUUUUUCUCUCAAAGGUAAGACUUAAGGACAGAGCAGGGAUAUCCGUCUUUAAAAAUAUCAUCAGCAAAUACUUACAUAUAAGUCACUGGACUAGAUGCUUAGCUGCUGUUCUGUGGGGAGUGCUGUAAACGCUGUCUGCUGAGGUUCAGGCCUACAGGGAGAUGUGAAAAUGUACGCACAUCGUCUUGCCACAUGGCGGACAGAGUCGUGGCGACACCGAGGAUUGCCAGGCCUCCAAGGUCAGAUGCUUUAAGACAAGCACACGUGGUUGGAAUUCAGGAGGGACUUAUGCUCUGCCAAGGCUUCAGGCUGAGAACACUUUUGCCAGUUUCUGACACGCUCCUAGAUGCUGCAGACCCUUUCAUUCAUGGGAUAAAUGCGAGGUGGGUGUGACUGUGUGCCGGGCUAUGUAACAGGUGUGGGCUGUGAAGAUCAACAAACGUGAGGCUUAUUUAAGACUCACAUGUGCACAGGUGGGAGACAGCAAGUGGAGGCUGGGCAGGGAUCACAUCUAGCAAAGAUCAUCCUUCCCUGCCCCAGUGCUGGGCCAGAGGGAAAGCAGAUGUCCUUCCAAGAGGUGGUGAAAGUUGGGAUUCUUAUGUAAAGCUUCCUGAUUUUCAAGUAUUAGCGAUUAACUGCAAAACCAUGUUUCUUUCAACACUGGGUGCUGUGUUCAGCCAAAUACAGCUAGUUAGCAACCUCCCUCUAAGUUUUCUUUCUGCUCAAAACUCUCUACUUUCAUCCCCAGCAGCCAGAUGUCUUGCCUGUGUGUCCUGGGUGAGAAUGUUCCAAAA